Molecule: ribosomal RNA, 261 nt
Filed under: uncultured archaeon
Lineage: Archaea
Description: partial 16S ribosomal RNA
Rfam family: Archaeal small subunit ribosomal RNA
Source: RNAcentral
AGGGUGUAAACGCUGCAGACUUGGUGUUGGAAGUCCUUUGGGGGCAUUCAGUGCCGGAGAGAAGUUGUUAAGUCUGCUACUUGGGGAGUACGUCCGCAAGGAUGAAACUUAAAGGAAUUGGCGGGGGGAGCACCGCAACGGGAGGAGCGUGCGGUUUAAUUGGAUUCAACACCGUAAAACUCACCAGGGAAGACUGUUACAUGAAGGCCGAGAUGAAGACUCUGCUAGAUUUUCAGAGAGGAGGUGCAUGGCGUCAGUGAC